UGCAUUCAUGUUCUUUCUUAACCUCCCAC
Molecule: non-coding RNA, 29 nt
Filed under: Mus musculus (house mouse)
Lineage: Eukaryota; Metazoa; Chordata; Mammalia; Rodentia; Muridae
Source: RNAcentral